This 301-nucleotide ribosomal RNA is filed under the name uncultured bacterium. Its description in RNAcentral is "partial 16S ribosomal RNA". It matches the Rfam family "Bacterial small subunit ribosomal RNA", at positions 509 to 807 of the family's 1533-position model. The record is from RNAcentral.
CAGUCGCCACGGGAAUACAGAGGGUGCGAGCGUUAAUCGGAUUUACUGGGCGUAAAGCGUGCGUAGGCGGCUUUUUAAGUCGGAUGUGAAAUCCCUGAGCUUAACUUAGGAAUUGCAUUCGAUACUGGGAAGCUAGAGUAUGGGAGAGGAUGGUAGAAUUCCAGGUGUAGCGGUGAAAUGCGUAGAGAUCUGGAGGAAUACCGAUGGCGAAGGCAGCCAUCUGGCCUAAUACUGACGCUGAGGUACGAAAGCAUGGGGAGCAAACAGGAUUAGAUACCCGUGUAGUCCCUGUCUCUUAUAC